Molecule: small nuclear RNA, 140 nt
Filed under: Trichobilharzia regenti
Lineage: Eukaryota; Metazoa; Platyhelminthes; Trematoda; Strigeidida; Schistosomatidae
Description: U4 spliceosomal RNA
Rfam family: U4 spliceosomal RNA
About the family: U4 small nuclear RNA (U4 snRNA) is a component of the major U2-dependent spliceosome.
Source: Rfam by way of RNAcentral
UUAAUCGCGCAGUAGUGGCACGGUAAACAGUGAGGUUUAUCUGAGGCGUGGUCAUUGCUAGUUGUAAAUUACUCCCAAUACCCUGCACUGAUGGCGUGAAAUGUCGUUGUCAGAUGCAAUUUACCCAGGCUGUCAGAGGC